Molecule: ribosomal RNA, 465 nt
Filed under: Vreelandella stevensii
Lineage: Bacteria; Pseudomonadati; Pseudomonadota; Gammaproteobacteria; Oceanospirillales; Halomonadaceae
Description: partial 16S ribosomal RNA
Rfam family: Bacterial small subunit ribosomal RNA
Source: RNAcentral
CCUACGGGAGGCAGCAGUGGGGAAUAUUGGACAAUGGGGGGAACCCUGAUCCAGCCAUGCCGCGUGUGUGAAGAAGGCCCUCGGGUUGUAAAGCACUUUCAGUGAGGAAGAACGCCUGGUGGUUAAUACCCAUCAGGAAAGACAUCACUCACAGAAGAAGCACCGGCUAACUCCGUGCCAGCAGCCGCGGUAAUACGGAGGGUGCGAGCGUUAAUCGGAAUUACUGGGCGUAAAGCGCGCGUAGGUGGCUUGAUAAGCCGGUUGUGAAAGCCCCGGGCUCAACCUGGGAACGGCAUCCGGAACUGUGAAGCUAGAGUGCAGGAGAGGAAGGUAGAAUUCCCGGUGUAGCGGUGAAAUGCGUAGAGAUCGGGAGGAAUACCAGUGGCGAAGGCGGCCUUCUGGACUGAAACUGACACUGAGGUGCGAAAGCGUGGGUAGCAAACAGGAUUAGAUACCCCAGUAGUC